CAGAGAUUAGCUUGCUAUAAUUGUCAGCUAAGUGGCGCACGGGUGAGUAAUGUAUAGGUAAUAUGCCUCUUACUAAGGGAUAACAAAUGGAAACGUUUGCUAAUACCUUAUACUCCUUAUUAACAGAAGUUAAUAAGGGAAAGAUUUAUUGGUAAGAGAUUAGCCUGUAUUGUAUCAGUUAGUUGGUGGGGUAAUGGCUUACCAAGACUAUGACACAUAACUGGUUUGAGAGGAUGAUCAGUCACACUGGAACUGAGACACGGUCCAGACUCCUACGGGAGGCAGCAGUGGGGAAUAUUGCACAAUGGACGAAAGUCUGAUGCAGCAACGCCGCGUGGAGGAUGACACAUCUCGGUGCGUAAACUCCUUUUAUAUGAGAAGAUAAUGACGGUAUUAUAUGAAUAAGCACCGGCUAACUCCGUGCCAGCAGCCGCGGUAAUACGGGGGGUGCAAGCGUUACUCGGAAUCACUGGGCGUAAAGAGCAUGUAGGCGGAUUAAUAAGUUUGAAGUGAAAUCCUAUAGCUUAACUAUAGAACUGCUUUGAAAACUGUUAAUCUAGAAUGUGGGAGAGGUAGAUGGAAUUUCUGGUGUAGGGGUAAAAUC
RNAcentral lists this ribosomal RNA (604 nucleotides) under uncultured Arcobacter sp. RNAcentral describes it as "bacterial SSU rRNA". It matches the Rfam family "Bacterial small subunit ribosomal RNA", at positions 68 to 688 of the family's 1533-position model. Lineage: Bacteria; Pseudomonadati; Campylobacterota; Epsilonproteobacteria; Campylobacterales; Arcobacteraceae. The record is from RNAcentral.